GUUUUCUGGAGUAGUGUUAUGUGGAGGACUGAGAAAUAAUAUUUUCUAAGACUUCACAUCUGAUACAGGUAUACGCGAAAUGUGUUCCCUAGGUUUAAUUGGAAAGUUAGUGACUGGUCCCUGGAUGAAAAAAUUCUAUGUUGUGCCAGGACAAGGACUUGACUAUUUGUCUGACAUCUAAGUGAUCAAAAAUGUUUGCAAUGCACUUGUUGAAAGCAGCGCAGAAGCUCUUUCCCUUAUUCACCGAAAGACAGACUUUUUUUGGAGGUGAUCUCAAUGAUCCAGUUUUUCAAUAACUCAUAGACUUUUGCCCAAGAACUGAUGAAACGAGUAAUGCAUUAGCCAGCUGUCUAAAUGCUGUCAUUAGUGUUAUUAACCGUCAGUAUGAGCGACAGUUUACUAUGACUUUAACUGAACUCAAGUCCCAGACAUUAUCAGCACGUCAACAUAAUAUUGACUGUGAAGAACUUGUGGGUAUGUUUAGUGCUGCAAAGCAAAAAGCUCUUAAUGCCACAAUUUGUUAUUUGUCUUCGAAAAUUCGCGCAUGCAAGAUUCGCAUGUUACAGCAUGGGAAGAUAUAUUAACAAAAAGUUUUGAAGAUUUAAAUGAUGCAGAAAUGUCUGUAAUAGAAUACUGCAGACCAAAUUUUCACCCUUUGAAAAUUGAUUCCAAAGAAAAAGUUGAUCAUUUCAAUAAAAAAGUAAAAGAAAGUUCGCAGAUAUUUUGUAUUCCUAUUGAUGCUAUAUAUGGCUGCAGUCCAUAAUCAUCCGCAUGGGCCUGAGCAGUUACAGAUAACCUAAAUAGACAUGGUUUAAAAACAAGACAUAGAGAUAUCUACAACAUAAAGCAAAGAAUGAAAUUUAAAGGUUUUAUGUCCUGCACUUGAAGAAAUUAUGAAGGUUCUUGAUUUACCAGACAUUAUGUCUCACAUUGACGCCGAUCAUGAUAGAAAAGUAGAAUGCAUCACUUGGACAACAACAGAACAAAUAAAACUGUUAAAAUGAUUUCCUGAGUGUAUCAUGCUGGAUGGCACCUAU
Molecule: long non-coding RNA, 1037 nt
Organism: Hydra vulgaris (swiftwater hydra)
Lineage: Eukaryota; Metazoa; Cnidaria; Hydrozoa; Anthoathecata; Hydridae
Source: RefSeq, a predicted model, not a curated record